CUCCAAACAAGUCUUUGGUGGUGGCAGUGGCGGUGGCAAACUGGGGCACAAAAGCAGGGUGAACUAAAGACGUCUCCUCAGCCUGCCUUCCGCCCACCCCGAGCGCACCUGCUCCCUCCCUUUCAGGCUGUCGGGCCCGCCGAGGGGUCCCCGGUGGGGAGCGGGCUGGGUGGGGCCGGGUGGGUUACAAAAGCCGAUGAGUCUCGGCUCAUUGCUCCCUCUGCACCCGCUCCUCGAUGAGUCAGACCCAGACCUUACGGGACGCUGUUAGGGGUCAAUCACUCCCCCUCCCACCCUGGCAUUCAAUGUAGGAAGUCAGGUCUCUCCCCAGCCUCCUAGCAAGAGGAGGAAGGCCCACGGGCGCCCGAGAAACUUACCGAGGAAGCCUCGAUGCCCUCCCCCCACGCACACACGCAUGUACCCCCAUUGCUCCUUGCCCCCAGCUCAACGACCUUCUUUUUUAUUCCUAACAGUGAUGACUUUCACGACCCCGACCCCCCGCCUGAACCUGGGGAAGACGAGAUCGAGCUGUUAGAUGACACCCUUGACCUGGAAGCCGAGCAGGACCUGGAGUCUGAGUCCGAGUUGGAGUCCGAACUGGAACCAGAACCUCAGCUGCUCCCAGAAUCGGAGUCCGAGCUAGAAGACGAAGUCCCUGUCCCAGUCAGCGUCUUCGUUCAAACCUCCAAUCUGGCAUUUAGCCUGACCCCGAGGAAGAUGCCCCCGGGACCCAGAGUGAAUGUCCAGAUCCAGACGGCUGUUGGGCCCAAAGGGGCAUUGGAGUUAAGUAUUUCCCACGAGCCCCGGAGCCCGGAGCCCUUACCGGUGAAGGAUGGUCUGCACCAUACAUUCCGGUCAGUCUUUGUGCAAACCUCCAGGCACCUGUUCCGGAUAGACAAGCUGAUACAGGCGUCUGACCAUCGCCUCAAGCAGCCAUUAGGGAUAGGGUGCCACCCAUUCCCAAUGCGAGACUGGCCUUUCCAGAAAUCUUUUGGACGAACCUCCAAGGAAAGCCUGCUCUCUGGCAACAAAUUGUCCAAGAUGUUCAUGGAGGACGUUAGAAUCCAAACCUCUCACCCAAGCCUGGGCAUUGAAGGUUUCCCACCACAGACCCCCAUUCAAGUAUUACUACCAGAAAGGUCGCCCUCAGAAAUCCAGUUGCUACCUUCCCGAAGCUUGUCUGCUAAAUUCUCGGAGCCACUGGACUUCAGAAUACUAGACUUUCGUCCAACCUCUGCCAGCCUUCCCCCAGCGCUGGUUUCUAGUACUGCGACCUCUUGCAAUUCCUCUUCCACAGAGCUGAUACUAGAUUCCAAAGCUCUGAUUUCCUGCAAGUCUUCCACAGGGCUGAGAAUGAGCUCCAGGUCACCCAUGACCCAAGAAUCGACCACGGACCUUUCCAUAGCAACUGAGCAGCCAGUCUCACCUUUGCCCCUCCUGAAGCCACCAGAAGCAGGGGAGCCUCAGAAGUCCAUCAGCCAGGAAUUUGCCCCGAAGCCAGGCUAUGCUCUGAACAUGACCAAGGCAGCCUCAGAAAGAGCAUCCAUGGAAGGGGAAGUUAACCCUCUCCACUCUCCAUCUUUAGCUCCAGUGUCAUCGGGACCUUGGAAAGAGUGGUCAUCAGCAGAGCACCAGGAGAUCCACAGUGAUACAGAAAUUGUACAGGUGAUGGAGCUGUUGACUUUGAGGACUUCCUUGGGAUCCUGACAGACAAUCAUCGCUUUGCCCAAUGCAUGGAUGUCCCAGGUCCCUAUUCUCAGGUCCCCAACCUGCCCUCUCGGACACGGUCGACCGAAAGGAGGAUUCGCAGCAGAGGUCCCCGACUCUCCAACCUGGCCAGGCCCUGCGACAAACCCAAGCCGCCUCAGCGAGAGGCACCUCGGCCGCAGGCCCCGGAUAAAAGUUAAUGGAGAGGGGAGGGGGCUGGCCAGCCUGUGCCCAACGUCCAUCCCACCUCCCUGAUACCAAUCCUGCUCCUUUCUUUGCAGAGCCCAUAGGUCAACGACCACAGUCAGAAGAGGGGACUGCAGAGCUGAGACCAGCUCCCUCCCCACCCACCCUGGUCCAGAGCCAACUCCCUUCCCCACCCCCUCCUACCCCACAGAGU
Vombatus ursinus (common wombat) is the source of this 2107-nucleotide long non-coding RNA. The record is from Ensembl. NCBI's taxonomy places the organism in Eukaryota, Metazoa, Chordata, Mammalia, Diprotodontia, Vombatidae.